AGGGUUCGAUUAUGGCUCAGGACGAACGCUGGCGGCGUGCCUAACACAUGCAAGUCGAACGGGGUACCCAUGACGGAGAUUUCGGUCAACGGAAUGGACUACCUAGUGGCGGACGGGUGAGUAACGCGUGAGCAACCUGCCCUUCGGAGGGGGACAACAGUUGGAAACGACUGCUAAUACCACAUAACAUAUAGCCAAGGCAUCUUGGAGAUAUCAAAGAUUUAUCGCCGAAGGAUGGGCUCGCGUCUGAUUAGCUGGUUGGUGAGGUAACGGCUCACCAAGGCGACGAUCAGUAGCCGGACUGAGAGGUUGAACGGCCACAUUGGGACUGAGAUACGGCCCAG
Molecule: ribosomal RNA, 344 nt
Filed under: uncultured bacterium
Lineage: Bacteria
Description: bacterial SSU rRNA
Rfam family: Bacterial small subunit ribosomal RNA
Source: RNAcentral